Molecule: ribosomal RNA, 485 nt
Filed under: uncultured bacterium
Lineage: Bacteria
Description: partial 16S ribosomal RNA
Rfam family: Bacterial small subunit ribosomal RNA
Source: RNAcentral
GAUGAACGCUGGCGGCGUGCUUAACACAUGCAAGUCGAACGGUGAACACGGAGCUUGCUCUGUGGGAUCAGUGGCGAACGGGUGAGUAACACGUGAGCAACCUGCCCCUGACUCUGGGAUAAGCGCUGGAAACGGCGUCUAAUACUGGAUACGAGUAGCGGCCGCAUGGUCAGUUACUGGAAAGAUUUUUUGGUUGGGGAUGGGCUCGCGGCCUAUCAGUUUGUUGGUGAGGUAAUGGCUCACCAAGGCGUCGACGGGUAGCCGGCCUGAGAGGGUGACCGGACACACUGGGAUUGAGACACGGCCCAGACUCCUACGGGAGGCAGCAGUGGGGAAUAUUGCACAAUGGGCGAAAGCCUGAUGCAGCAACGCCGCGUGAGGGAUGACGGCCUUCGGGUUGUAAACCUCUUUUAGCAGGGAAGAAGCGAAAGUGACGGUACCUGCAGAAAAAGCGCCGGCUAACUACGUGCCAGCCGCCGCCGUAA